GGGUCAGUAGGUUGGUCGUGCCACCGGUACGUACUGGACUCACUGAUUCCUCCUUCCUGAAGAACCGUAAUGCCAUUAAUUUGGUGUUGCGGGGGAAACAGGACUGUUACUUUGAAAAAAUUAGAGUGUUUAAAGCAAGCUAACGCUUGAAUACAUUAGCAUGGAAUAAUGAAAUAGGACGAUCGAUCCUAUUUUGUUGGUUUCUAGGAUUGACGUA
RNAcentral lists this ribosomal RNA (217 nucleotides) under Glomeromycotina sp. RNAcentral's name for it is "partial small subunit ribosomal RNA". The stretch from base 32 to 217 matches the Rfam family "Eukaryotic small subunit ribosomal RNA", at positions 677 to 864 of the family's 1831-position model. Lineage: Eukaryota; Fungi; Glomeromycota. The record is from RNAcentral.